UGGAUGAUUUAUGGAAUGAGGAUUUCAAAAAAUGGUUUGAUUUGAAAGAUUUGUUAGUCGGAGGUGCACGUGGCAGCAAAAUAAUGGUGACUACUCGUCUUGAAAAUGUUGCUAAGAUGAUAAGAUCAAAUGAAACGUGCAAAUUACAAGGCCUACUUGAUCAUGAGUCAUGGUCUUUGUUUGCAGAAAUCGCCUUUAAUCAAGGACGAGUAACGAGUCCAAAGCAUGAGAUAAUUGGAAAAGAAAUUGUGGCUAAGUGUAGUGGAGUCCCUUUAGCAAUACGAGCAAUAGGAAGCUUAUUAUAUUAUAAAAAUACAACAAAUGAGUGGGAAUCCUUCAAAGAAAAAGAGCUUUUAAAUUUGAAUGAAGAGGAGAUUGGUGUUAUGAAAACUCUAAGGUUGAGUUAUAAUCAUCUACCUUCACAUUUAAAGUGUUGCUUUGCUUAUUGUAGAUUAUUUCCAAAAGGUGCUAAAAUUAGCAUAAGAUAUAUGAUGAGUCUUUGGUUGGCACAAGGAUUUAUUAGAUCUUCAGAUUCAGAACAAAGUUUUGAAGAUAUAGGUUUAAAAUAUUUUAAGAAUCUUUUAUGGAGAUCAUUCUUUCAGGAAGUAGAAGAAGAUAUAUUUGGUAAUUUAUUAAGUUGUAAAAUGCAUGAUUUGAUACAUGAUCUUGCUGUGCAAGUAGCUGGAGAGGAAAAUGUUUUGGUAAAUUCAGAUGCACAACGUGUUAAAAAAGAAACUCGACAUGUGUCACUUAAUUUUGAAGUUGAGUCAUGGCAGAAAGUUGCAAGCAGCUUACCAAAUGCGACAAAGGUGCGAACAUUUAUACCAUUGAAGUGGUCAAUAAGGGAUGAUAUUAAAAAAGUUGAAUGCCAGGAAAUUUUUUCCAAAUUAAGUCAUGCAAGGGUAUUGAAUCUGCAGUGUUUGGGAGAGAGAGUGCCACAUUCCAUUGACAAAUUGAAGCAUAUAAGGUUUCUCGAUCUUUCUGAGAAUAAAAGAAUUGAGGUCCUUCCUAAUUCCAUAAUUAAACUUCAAAACCUGCAAUUUCUAUACCUAGUUAAUUGUGAAAGGCUUAAGCAGUUGCCUAAGCAUAUCAAAAUGUUGGUCAAUCUCCAACAACUUUACCUUGAGGGAUGUGAAAGUUUGACUCAUAUGCCAUGUGGGAUUGGUCAAUUGAGUUCCCUUGAGAAUUUAUCAGUAUU
RNAcentral lists this unclassified non-coding RNA (1198 nucleotides) under Hevea brasiliensis (rubber tree). The record is from RNAcentral. Lineage: Eukaryota; Viridiplantae; Streptophyta; Magnoliopsida; Malpighiales; Euphorbiaceae.